GAUCAUGGCUCAGGAUGAACGCUAGCGGCAGGCUUAACACAUGCAAGUCGAGGGGCAGCGUGGGGCAGCAAUGCUCUGACGGCGACCGGCGGAAGGGUGCGUAACACGUGAGCGACUUGCCCGUCACAGGGGGAGUAACCGGCGGAAACGGCGACUAAUACCCCAUAUGCUGCGAUGCUGCAUGGCAUUGCAAUGAAAGAUUCAUCGGUGGCGGAUAGG
This 219-nucleotide ribosomal RNA is filed under the name uncultured bacterium. RNAcentral's name for it is "partial 16S ribosomal RNA". It matches the Rfam family "Bacterial small subunit ribosomal RNA", at positions 15 to 229 of the family's 1533-position model. The record is from RNAcentral.